Molecule: unclassified non-coding RNA, 347 nt
Filed under: soil metagenome
Description: partial contains 5.8S ribosomal RNA, internal transcribed spacer 2, and large subunit ribosomal RNA
Rfam family: 5.8S ribosomal RNA (bases 1-119)
Source: RNAcentral
GAUGAAGAACGUAGCGAAAUGCGAUAAGUAAUGCGAAUUGCAGAAUCCGUGAGUCAUCGAAUCUUUGAACGCACAUUGCGCCCUUUGGUAUUCCGAAGGGCAUGCCUGUUCGAGCGUCAUUAUCACCCCUCAAGCCCCGGCUUGGUGUUGUGCUCUCGGUGGUCGUCUCCGACCACCCGUCUCAAAGAUAGUGACGGCGUCCCAGAGGGAACCGGUACGAGGAGCUUUCACGAGCAUGUACGCGGGACGACUCUGCGGGCGACGGUCUUAUUUACUUUAUAUACAAGUGUUGACCUCGGAUCAGGUAGGAAUACCCGCUGAACUUAAGCAUAUCAAUAAGCGGAGGA